RNAcentral lists this ribosomal RNA (253 nucleotides) under uncultured bacterium. Its description in RNAcentral is "partial 16S ribosomal RNA". It matches the Rfam family "Bacterial small subunit ribosomal RNA", at positions 524 to 776 of the family's 1533-position model. The record is from RNAcentral.
UACAGAGGAUGCAAGCGUUAUCCGGAAUGAUCGGGCGUAAAGCGUCUGUAGGUGGCCUUUUAAGUCCGCCGUCAAAUCCCAGGGCUCAACUCUGGACAGGCGGUGGAAACUACCAAGCUGGAGUACGGUAGGGGCAGAGGGAAUUUCCGGUGGAGCGGUGAAAUGCGUAGAGAUCGGAAAGAACACCAACGGCGGAAGCACUCUGCUGGGCCGACACUGACACUGAGAGACGAAAGCUAGGGGAGCGAAUGGG